RNAcentral lists this transfer RNA (72 nucleotides) under Lamprotornis superbus. RNAcentral's name for it is "tRNA-OTHER". Lineage: Eukaryota; Metazoa; Chordata; Aves; Passeriformes; Sturnidae. The record is from RNAcentral.
GAUAUUAGCUUAGCUGGUCAGGGCAUGGUGCUAAUUACACCAAGGUUGUGGGUUCAAUCCCUGUAUGGGCCA